ACAAAAGGAGACUCGAAAAAUGUUAUUUCAUGGGCGACAAACUCUUCAGCAUGUUCGUGGAGGCUCCUCCACAUCAUUGUUUAAAUCCGCCAUCUCUGCAGCAAUCCCAAUGUCUCUUGGAAUCACAUAUGGAGGGAAGCCAACUCCGAAGCCAACAAUCUUGCAAGAUCAGGAGCUGCUCUAAACCCAUAAAGAGCCCCCCUAGUCUGGCGAAUCUCCUCUACUAUAGUAAUUUGGAUGCAGUACUCUUUUUGUAAAUUUUUGUGUACACACAUGGCCGUCAAUGUCAC
RNAcentral lists this long non-coding RNA (290 nucleotides) under Amborella trichopoda. RNAcentral describes it as "long non-coding RNA (ATRI_LNC002000)". Lineage: Eukaryota; Viridiplantae; Streptophyta; Magnoliopsida; Amborellales; Amborellaceae. The record is from RNAcentral.